AGUGAAGCUCCCAGCGGCGCCGGGCUGAGGAAGGCCGCGGCGCGGUGGCGGGGGGCUGCCGUGUACGCACCUACAGGGCCGUCUGUAGAACCGCACCCGGGGGCCGGCGGCCGCUCGGGAACGACGCCGCGGGCAGCAGCCGGAGGGCGGGCACCGGCACAGGCUCCUGGGGCGCCUGCACGUCGUUGGGCUAAACCGAGGGCCUCACAGGCCUCACAGGCCUCACGCGCUCCGUCAGGGGAAGGCAGCGGAGGCCUGGCGCCCAGGGAGGGUCCCAGCGUCUCACGGGGCGGGGGCGGGGGCGGGGGCGGCGGGGCGCACCGGGAGCUCCCCCGCGGAGCUCACCUCACCUCGGCGUCGCCGCCCGGCCCAGCGACCGAGGCUGCGCACGUGCUCCCGGCGGCGGCGGCGGCGGCGGCCUGCGCUCCGGGCCUCGGUCUCUCGGGCCUGGGGGCUCCGUCUGUGGGGAGAGCGGCAGAGACAACAGCUACGUCAGAGGCGCGUGAAAACGGAGCCCGCGUGCGUGCGGCUGGCGCCUCGCGCCCUCCCCACGGCCCGCCCCGCCCCGCCCCGCCUGCGGGGAAACUGAGGCCCGCCAGCCAUCGGGCCCGGGGCCCCGUGGAGACGCGCUUUUCUCCUAUUUUAUUCGCUGCGGCCCGUCUGUGCGGCCCGUUCCGCGGCCUCGGAGCCUGGGCGCCCUUGUCCCCGCGCCGCCCCCCCCCCGCGUGGGGGCGGAACACGCACGAGGCCUGGGCGCCAGGCCCGCACACGCCUCCACCUAAGCGAGUGGGGGACACGCGCUACGACCCGGCCGCCGGGGCCGCAGCAGGGCGGGCGGCGCGCCCGGGAGCGCUCCCCGCCCCCCCUCGCGGCGGCGACGAAUCCAGGCCACGUGCCGCCAUUUUGUGUUCUGGAAACAUGGCGGCCACGCCGCGGUGGGGGGGGAGGAGGGCGCCACGUUGGCCGCCGGCCCCGAGGCCCCCGCCGCGCCGCGCCGCGCUCGUCUGUCUGGGCGCCGCCCGGUGCGGCUCGGCCGAGGCGGCGGCGGGGGGACGGCGGCGAACGCACACGGGCCGCCGCGCCGCCUUCCCUCCGCGAGAGGGGCGCGCGCGGGCGGGCGGGCGGGCGGGGAAGGCCUUCCAAGAUGGCGGGGGCCGCCCCGAGGGGAGCGUCGCGGGCAGGGCCCCCCGCACCGCCCGGCGCGGCCCCACGUGCGGCCAUUGUCUUCAGGGUCUGACGAGGCCGCCACGACCGAAGGGACCCCGGGAGGCGGGGUUUCCGCAGGCUCGGCCGCAAGGAACUUGCAAAAUGCAAACAAAGCAUUAUGUAAAUGGACGCCAUGCCGGCAGUGGCUGUUUUUUUGUUGUUGUUUUUUCUCCUCUUCUUCCCUCCCGCCGCCCCCCUCCCGGCCGCGGCUCCACAGUCCCCAGAACCCUCGGGCGGGGGUCGGCGGGGCCCGCCGCGGCCGCAGGGCGCGGGGGGGGGGGGCGGGGGCGCCCGCGCUGCGGAGACCGAGGCCCCACGUGCCCGCCCGCGCGCGCCCGCGCCCGCGCCGCAGGCCUCGCCCGGCCGCCCCUCCCCCCCGGAAGAGCGCGGCCGCCCCGCCCGCCGCCCCACACCCCGGCGCAGGCGCGCUGGCCGCCUCACGCGCACGUUUUAAACCCGCGGCGUCCCGGCGGCGCCUGCAGUGGCCGCCGGGGCUGCCCGUGUCGCUCCGCUCCGGACGCCCUUCCCGAGGCGGGAAAGUGA
Molecule: long non-coding RNA, 1749 nt
Filed under: Canis lupus familiaris (dog)
Lineage: Eukaryota; Metazoa; Chordata; Mammalia; Carnivora; Canidae
Description: lncRNA (ENSCAFG00845027147.1)
Source: RNAcentral